RNAcentral lists this ribosomal RNA (253 nucleotides) under uncultured bacterium. Its description in RNAcentral is "partial 16S ribosomal RNA". It matches the Rfam family "Bacterial small subunit ribosomal RNA", at positions 524 to 776 of the family's 1533-position model. The record is from RNAcentral.
UACAGAGGAUGCAAGCGUUAUCCGGAAUGAUUGGGCGUAAAGCGUCUGUAGGUGGCUUUUUAAGUCCGCCGUCAAAUCCCAGGGCUCAACUCUGGACAGGCGGUGGAAACUACCAAGCUGGAGUACGGUAGGGGCAGAGGGAAUUUCCGGUGGAGCGGUGAAAUGCGUAGAGAUCGGAAAGAACACCAACGGCGAAGGCGGCUCACUGGACCGGUUCUGACGCUGAGGCGCGAAAGCGUGGGGAGCAAACGGG